GCUUAUGUAGUUUAUUGAAAAUUUAACACUGAAGCUGUUAAGAUAGACCCUAAUAAGUCUCGUGAGCA
Molecule: transfer RNA, 68 nt
Filed under: Scopelarchoides danae
Lineage: Eukaryota; Metazoa; Chordata; Actinopteri; Aulopiformes; Scopelarchidae
Description: tRNA-Phe
Source: RNAcentral